CUAGAAAUGCAAAAUAUCGUGCAAAAUAUCCUUCCGGAUAUUACCCUUAAUCACCAAUGAAACCUAAGGUUGAACAAGAGAACAUUAUUAUAGUUUAUCGAGCAAAACAUUUAAGGGAAACAAAGAAACCCGACUAAUUAAGAGUAAAACGUGUAAAGAUGACUUUCAAGUAAGAAGAGGGUUGUUUGAACCCAAGGAUGAAAAAUCAUGUUUUAAAAUGGAAAACCGAUCAUGGUAUUGGCCUAACAAAAGUAUACAAGUUCAAAUAGAAACCUAGCCCUCGGGCGAAAAUUUGGGCAGCACGCCCUUUGUGUUUACCUAAUUUUCCAGCCAUUUUGGCUUCAUUAUUUUUCCUCAAUCAAACCAAGGUUACCCACAACACAAAUUCAUUUCAAUAGCCAUUCCAUAGGCUCAAAACAAUACAAGUAUAGAAAUCGAGCUAAUAACAAAUGCGGAAAUGAAACUUAACAAAAGACAGAUUUGACGGGUUUUGCGUAACGGACACAUCCGACGCUACGCUUAUCGGAUUGGAAUGUAAUUUAUACCGUUUCGAAGCUAAGACAGAGGGAUACAAUUUUGAUGAAGACCACUUAGUCCAAAUUCCAGUGUAACCUAGUCAAAUUCCCAAUUCGCAGAACCAAGUUCCAACUAAUCGGCUAAUUAACCGUACUACCUUUAAAUGGCCAUAUCACAGGCUACCAAAGUCCGUUUAAGGCGUUCUUAGAGGCGUUGAAAAGCUAAGAAAAAGACCUACAACUUUCAUGAAGACCACUCAGUCCAGUUCUCAUCCUAACUAGGUCAAAUGUACCAAAAAAUCUCCAGAUUUUCCAGUUUGAAAUUCACUGCAGAAAUCAACUAGCAGUCCUGCUUUAUUCACUCAUAUCUCAGCACACACAACUCCAAUUCAGGUAAUUCCAAAGCCAUUAGAAAGCUAAGACACAAGGCUAUAAGUCUUAAGAAGACAUCAACAACCAAAUCAGUAGUAUUCCUGGUCAAAACAUCCAAUUACAGAAGCUGAUUAUCAGUUUCGGAUAAAUACAGGGAAGUAGGGGUAUUUUGGUCUUUUCACAGGCUACGUUGCUCCGAUUGAGCUGAAAUUUUACAGACAACUAUAAAACAUCAUUCCCUACAACUUUCAUGUUUUGGACUAAGGCCAAAUCAGCUCCCAACAUGUUCGAAUUUUCAGACUAAUUUCGGACAGAAAUCUUGACAGAAAAGGAACACUUGAAGUUCAUUUAAAUUCCACCCAAUCAAACGAAUUUCCAGCCGUUCAAAUCAGUUCCUAGCUAGUUAGAUUCAACUUCCAAUCAUCAAUCAUAUGUUUUACCACAAGAAUCAAGAGUUAGGAAAUUGGUUUACCUCAAAUCCUUAAGCAUACCCCCUAGCUGGCCGAUUCUUUGAGGAGAUGUAUCCUUGAGCUCCAACUCUCCAACAAAGUUCCCUUUCUUUUUUUUUUUUUUUUCUCUCUUCUCCUAGCUCACCCGAUGCUGCCUUUCUUCUUCUCCAAGCUCACGGUAGCUUGUUCUUGGUGUUGG
Molecule: long non-coding RNA, 1535 nt
Filed under: Coffea arabica (coffee)
Lineage: Eukaryota; Viridiplantae; Streptophyta; Magnoliopsida; Gentianales; Rubiaceae
Description: long non-coding RNA (CARA_LNC002536)
Source: RNAcentral